AAUCAACGCUGGCGGCGUGCCUAACACAUGCAAGUCGAACGCGAAAGUCCCGCAAGGGAUAAGUAGAGUGGCAAACGGGUGAGUAACACGUGGGUGACCUGCCUUCGGGUGGGGGAUAACGUCCCGAAAGGGACGCUAAUACCGCAUGACAUCCUGCUUUUGAACAGGUGGAGAUCAAAGCUGGGGAUCGCAAGACCUAGCGCUUGAAGAGGGGCCCGCGCCUGANAGCUAGUUGGUGGGGUAACGGCUCACCAAGGCGACGAUCAGUAUCCGGCCUGAGAGGGCGGACGGACACACUGGGACUGAGACACGGCCCAGACUCCUACGGGAGCAGCAGUAGGGGAAUUGUCGCAAUGGGCNCAAGCCUGACGACGCAACGCCGCGUGGAGGAU
This 392-nucleotide ribosomal RNA is filed under the name uncultured bacterium. RNAcentral describes it as "bacterial SSU rRNA". It matches the Rfam family "Bacterial small subunit ribosomal RNA", at positions 29 to 409 of the family's 1533-position model. The record is from RNAcentral.